Molecule: ribosomal RNA, 208 nt
Filed under: uncultured Eubacteriales bacterium
Lineage: Bacteria; Bacillati; Bacillota; Clostridia; Eubacteriales
Description: uncultured Clostridiales bacterium partial 16S ribosomal RNA
Rfam family: Bacterial small subunit ribosomal RNA
Source: RNAcentral
CGCGUAGGCGGUUUGUUAAGUCAGGUGUGAAAGUUUUCAGCUUAACUGGAAAAGUGCACUUGAAACUAACUUACUUGAGUACUGGAGAGGUAAGCGGAAUUCCUAGUGUAGCGGUGAAAUGCGUAGAUAUUAGGAAGAACACCGGUGGCGAAGGCGGCUUACUGGACAGAGACUGACGCUGAGGCGCGAAAGCGUGGGGAGCGAACAG